Molecule: long non-coding RNA, 3248 nt
Organism: Struthio camelus australis
Lineage: Eukaryota; Metazoa; Chordata; Aves; Struthioniformes; Struthionidae
Source: RefSeq, a predicted model, not a curated record
AAUUUCCAUUCCCUACCUUGCUUUUCUCUCUUUUUGGCUCUGUUUCAGGUUUGGAUCACUUCAUAUUGCCUCAUUCAUGCCUGCCAUUGUACCAGCUGUCUCCUGAACCCAAACUCCCUGUCCUGAAGGACCUCAAAAAUUAUGACCAAGACAGGCAGCCCACCCUCCUUGGGACAUCUGGGAUGAUUUGAAGAGAACGGCCUUAACUCUGUCCCUGAAUGUCCCUUCAGAGUCACAAGUAGCCAUAGUUCCCCUGCUACUUCCAGCCGGGCUAGAACAACUGCUUUGCACUCCUGCGGCGGGGUUCGGAGCAUGGGAAGGGCAAAGGCCCUCCUUGGGAGAGGACAGGCCUCCUGCUUUGCCAGCCAACACCACUGGAGAGAAGCUGACGCCACCUUGCCGUUUGUCCUAGGCUUGUGAGAUGCACGGGGUCAUGUUCCAGCCAUGCUCCUCUCCAGGGAGUCUUCCAGAUCAAAUUUUCUCCGUUUGCAAACCAGGAGAUGAUUUUCCUAAUGGCUGUAACUACAUUGCUCAUAUUCUGGCUGCACAGACCUGCUCCUAUAUAGCUGCAGUACAUCUGGGAGGAGAUUAAGGUGUUGGGGUCCAAAAGAAGCUGAAGAAUUAGUCUACAUGUGGGAACAGAACCCAAAUCUCCUGACACUCACCUGCAGCUUUCUGGUCACAAGACCAGAACGUCUGUCAUCUCAAGGUUAAGCAGGCAGACCCUUUUAGAGGAGUUUGAUGGUAAGCAGAUGAAUAAUAAUUAUGGCAUAUUAAUCUUAUCUGCAGAGCAUCCAUAACUCUUUCAGUGGUUCAUAUGGUCCAAUGUUUCUGGCCUGAUCAGAAAUCACCAUUGGCUACUUUCUCAUCAUAUGAGCUUUCCUCUUUUCUCAUCAUAUGUUGCCCAGGUGAGCUGGAUAGAAAUGUCUGCAACUGUGAAAUACAAAUUGUUGUAAACAGCAGUCCGCUGACCUGUCGGUCGAGUAACUCAUGAGGGAUGCAGUGCUUUGCUUUAGUGUUGGUAUGCUGACAUUGUCUUCCAUUGAGCUACAAGGAAGUUUAGCUGUAGGUUAUUCACCAUAACGUUGAGAAAGCUCCAGGCUAGUGAGGGCCGCAGAACUGUUCUGCUCAGGCCUUCAGUCCCAGUUAUUUUACCCACUGCAUCAAACUGCUGUUUUUGGUACUGCCUCACAGAGAGUGAAGCUCACAGAAGGCACUGCUCACACUGCUCUCUCUCAGUGGAUUUUCGCUAGUAGAAGUUAUGCUAGAUUUUCAGAGAACAGAGUGCAUCCCACCAUUGGCAAAUAUUACUCUGGUGCCACAAAGACAUCCUACAUACUUUAAUUAAAAUGCUGGUAGGGGUAUAUUUCUGGUUGAUGAAUUUCAUUAAUCUGAGUUUUAAAAGAAGUAAUGCUGAGAAAUGUGGAACCUGAAUGCCCCCCUUCCGUUUUCCCAAAGAAUCUUUAAGCACUAGCUCCUAGAGGGGCAUCAGAGAUACAGACCAGCGGAGAGGCUGGGAGGGGGGAAGAUGAAGGAGGAGGGUAUGUAUGCGUGUGUAUUUUGGGGCUUUUUAGAAGGAAAGAACAUGAGUUUGAGUUUUGAAAGAAAACUAGGCCAAAAAAUGCAGUAGAUAGUUUCUAAAAGGAUGAUUCAAGCAGCUUUGAUAUGGAUAUGUUCCCUUGCAAAGACACAGCACUGGAGAAGCUCUUUAUCAGUGUCAAAUUAUGACAAACGACAUUGGGGGAAAGUCACAGGGCUGCAGAACAUUGUCGCAGCUGCAACACCUUGGAAAUUAUACAGGUAUCUUUACUGUUCCAUGCCUUGGGGUUCCAUUCUGGCCUUAAUUAAUCACAGAGAAAAAGGAUUGUCUUUUCUCCUGUUCUUUUUAAGUUCUUUUUAUAGCACGAUAAAUGAGGGAGGGAAGACGAGGAAGAGGAAAAUUGCGUGUGGACAAAUUUGGGCAAGAUAAUACCCUAUCCUUGGCUUGUACACAAAGACAUUAUUGCCUUGCUGACAAAAGUCAUUAGAAAAUGUAGGGCCUGCCCUCGUGUCAAGUAGAAUGCCGUGUAAAAGGAAAAUUGAGGGGAAUGCGUGAGCGUGGGGGGAGAGAAAGAGGAGAGGGGAAGCAGCAGCAAUCAAACAAGGGCAAUAAAAGCCGGGGACAUUUCCUGCAGUGUGUUGCUGGAGGCCAUAUAUGGUACAAACCAGCAUGACUGAUUAAAAAAAAAAAAGUGUGUGUGUGGGGGGGAAUCAAGCCAGAGUUUCUUAACAGUACCUCCAGUCUCUUUUUUAAGAGUUCCCUUGAAGACUUGUCUAUAUAAAUGUUGAAUUAUAUGGUUCUUUGACUCUUUACUAGAAAUUGCUCUGAAUUACUUUUUUUAUAUAAUCUGUUUCAUUUCCAGCAUUCUGCCGUAUCUCACAGAGGAAUAUCUGUAGCUGUCAACUGGCACAUUCUUCUGUUGCUAGACUGCUGUGCUGUGUCUUCUAAUAAAGUUGCCCUCUGUUCCACCACAGGGCAGUAAUCUGUAAUGAAAAUUUUAUAUGAGUGGUUAGGAAAUGGAGUUUGAAUCUGGGUUUCAAGUAUGAUUUUCAUAAUACUCUAGGCAUAUAUGCACACAAUGUUUGGGGAUUUAGAAAUAAAAGGGAUCAUUUCACGACGACUCUGUUUUCUUUAAACCUCUUCUUGAUAGGAUCAUUGGAAAUAUUUGCAGCUUUGAUCUCACCCCUUGUAAGCCUCCCCUGGUUAUAUUAUAAAUUUGGAACUUGGAACAAUUGUCAAAAAGGCCACUGGACCUUUUCAGAGGCCGUUGGUCAGAGAGGAGAUCACGUUAAAAUUUUCUGCUUCUAUGGUAUUUCUUGCUUCCUCUAGAUGCGAAAUCCGCGAAUGCCUAUGCGACAUGUCAUUUAUUGUAUUAUCAGUAUAAGCCUUCUUGUAUACAUUCAGUCCUUUAAUGUGGCAGUAUCUCUGUCUAAAGAACGCGUCCUUAUAAUGUUUGCAGAGCUAGUAGUGGCGUAGACACUCGGGAAGCUGAAGCUGUUAGCAGAGCGGGGUGUCAGUCCAGCUCUCCUUGCAGUGCACGGGGAAGGUCGGGGAGCUUGCACGCCUCUUUCAACUCGGGUCCUCGCAGGAACUGCAAGGAUCUACUCUCACCUCUUAGAGGGAGGAAUCUGCCUCAUCUGAUCAUGCCCAGUGAUAGGGUAAGUGACCUCGCUGAGCUUAGGUACGACGUGGCCAUUAAAUUCGGACA